AGUGAACGCUGGCGGCGUGGAUUAGGCAUGCAAGUCGAACGAUACCGCAAGGUAUAGUGGCAAAAGGGUGAGUAACACGCGAGCAAUCUACCUUCGAGUGGGGAAUAACACUGGGAAACCGGUGCUAAAACCGCAUAAGACCACGGCCUGGCAUCAGGCUGAGGUAAAAUGGGGGGACCAUGCGGCACUGCGCAAGCAGUGACGCGGGCCUCUAGCUUGAAGAUGAGCUCACGUCCUAUCAGCUUGUUGGCGGGGUAACGGCCCACCAAGGCUUUUGACGGGUAGCUGGUCUGAGAGGAUGGUCAGCCACAUUGGGACUGAGACACUGCCCAGACUCCUACGGGAGCAG
RNAcentral lists this ribosomal RNA (349 nucleotides) under uncultured Omnitrophica bacterium. RNAcentral's name for it is "bacterial SSU rRNA". It matches the Rfam family "Bacterial small subunit ribosomal RNA", at positions 29 to 351 of the family's 1533-position model. Lineage: Bacteria; Pseudomonadati; Candidatus Omnitrophota. The record is from RNAcentral.